Molecule: ribosomal RNA, 403 nt
Filed under: uncultured bacterium
Lineage: Bacteria
Description: partial 16S ribosomal RNA
Rfam family: Bacterial small subunit ribosomal RNA
Source: RNAcentral
GACGAACGCUGGCGGCGGGCUUAACACAUGCAAGUCGAACGAGCGGCGGACGGGUGAGUAAUGUAUGGGGACGGCCCGAGAGAGGGGGGUAACUACUGGAAACGGUGGCUAAUACCGCAUACGUUCGGAUAACCCAUAUGGGAUUAGCUAGUAGGUAAGGUAAUGGCUUACCUAGGCGACGAUCCCUAGCUGGUCUGAGAGGAUGAUCAGCCACACUGGGACUGAGACACGGCCCAGACUCCUACGGAGGCAGCAGUGGGGAAUCUUGCGCAAUGGGCGAAAGUCUGAUGCAGCAACGCCGCGUGUAUGAAGAAGGUCCUAGGGUUGUAAAGUACUUUCAGUCGGGAGGCGUUACCUACAGAAGAAGCCCCGGCUAACUCCGUGCCAGCAGCCGCGGUAAUUC